GAUGAACGCUGGCGGCGUGCCUAAUACAUGCCAGUCGAGCGAACAGACGAGGAGCUUGCUCCUCUGACGUUAGCGGCGGACGGGUGAGUAACACGUGGAUAACCUACCUAUAAGACUGGGAUAACUUCGGGAAACCGGAGCUAAUACCGGAUAAUAUAUUGAACCGCAUGGUUCAAUAGUGAAAGACGGUUUUGCUGUCACUUAUAGAUGGAUCCGCGCCGCAUUAGCUAGUUGGUAAGGUAACGGCUUACCAAGGCAACGAUGCGUAGCCGACCUGAGAGGGUGAUCGGCCACACUGGAACUGAGACACGGUCCAGACUCCUACGGGAGGAAGCAGUAGGGAAUCUUCCGCAAUGGGCGAAAGCCUGACGGAGCAACGCCGCGUGAGUGAUGAAGGUCUUCGGAUCGUAAAACUCUGUUAUUAGGGAAGAACAAAUGUGUAAGUAACUAUGCACGUCUUGACGGUACCUAAUCAGAAAGCCACGGCUAACUACGUG
RNAcentral lists this ribosomal RNA (497 nucleotides) under uncultured bacterium. Its description in RNAcentral is "partial 16S ribosomal RNA". It matches the Rfam family "Bacterial small subunit ribosomal RNA", at positions 28 to 507 of the family's 1533-position model. The record is from RNAcentral.